UGAUUAAGAUAGUUGCCGAGGGUGAAUUG
This 29-nucleotide non-coding RNA is filed under the name Mus musculus (house mouse). The record is from RNAcentral. Lineage: Eukaryota; Metazoa; Chordata; Mammalia; Rodentia; Muridae.